GACCAGACUCCUACGGGAGGCAGCAGUGGGGAAUAUUGCACAAUGGGGGAAACCCUGAUGCAGCGACGCCGCGUGAGUGAAGAAGUAUUUCGGUAUGUAAAGCUCUAUCAGCAGGGAAGAAAGUGACGGUACCUGACUAAGAAGCCCCGGCUAACUACGUGCCAGCAGCCGCGGUAAUACGUAGGGGGCAAGCGUUAUCCGGAUUUACUGGGUGUAAAGGGAGCGUAGACGGCGCUGCAAGUCCGGAGUGAAAGCCCAUGGCUUAACCAUGGUACUGCUCUGGAAACUGUGGAGCUUGAGUGCGGGAGGGGCAGGCGGAAUUCCUAGUGUAGCGGUGAAAUGCGUAGAUAUUAGGAGGAACACCAGUGGCGAAGGCGGCUUACUGGACUGUAACUGACGUUGAGGCUCGAAGGCGUGGGGAGCAAACAGGAUUAGAUACCCCUGUAA
This 447-nucleotide ribosomal RNA is filed under the name uncultured bacterium. Its description in RNAcentral is "bacterial SSU rRNA". It matches the Rfam family "Bacterial small subunit ribosomal RNA", at positions 329 to 793 of the family's 1533-position model. The record is from RNAcentral.